Molecule: ribosomal RNA, 984 nt
Filed under: uncultured organism
Description: bacterial SSU rRNA
Rfam family: Bacterial small subunit ribosomal RNA
Source: RNAcentral
GGGGCUAAUAUCUCCAGUAUUUGACGUCCAUCUCAAAUGAAGUCACGGCUAAAUUUGUGCCAGCAGCCGCGGUAAGACAAAUGUGGCAAGCGUUGUUCGGAAUCACUGGGCAUAAAGGGCACGUAGGCGGCGUAGUAAGUUAACUGUGAAAUCCCCCGGCUCAACCGGGGAACUGCAGUUAAUACUGCUGUGCUAGAGUGCAGAAGAGGAGAGUGGAAUUCUAGGUGUAGCGGUGGAAUGCGAAGAUAUCUAGGAGAAGGCCGGUGGCGAAAGCGACUCUCUGGUCUGUUACUGACGCUGAGGUGCGAGAGCGCAGGUAGCGAACGGGAUUAGAUACCCCGGUAGUCUGUGCCGUAAACGAUGGGCACUUAGAUGGUGGAGGCGCCGAUAGCUUUCGCCGUCGCAGCUAAUACGUUAAGUGCCCCGCCUGGGGAGUAUGGCCGCAAGGUUAAAACUCAAAGGAAUUGACGGGUGCCCACACAAUCGUUGGAGGAUGUGGCUUAAUUCGAGUAUACCCGUUUAACCUUACCGAGGCUUGACAUGCAGGUGGUAGUGAAGUGAAAGCGGUACGACCCGAAUAGGGAGCCUGCACAGGUGCUGCAUGGCUGUCGACAGCUCGUGUCGUGAGAUGUUAGGUUAAGUCCUGUAACGAGCGAAACCCUUGUGCUUAAUUGCCAGCGCGUUAUGGCGGGGACCUUAAGCAGACUGCCCCGGCCAACGGGGAGGAAGGUGGGGAUGACGUCAAGUCAGCAUGGCCUUUAUGCCUCGGGCUGCACACGUCCUACAAUGGGCUGUACAAUGGGGACCCAAACCGCAAGGUGGAGGAAAUCCUAUAAAGCAGUCCUCAGUUCGGAUUGCAGGCUGAAAUUCGCCUGCAUGAAGAUGGAAUCGCUAGUAAUCGCCGGUCAGCAUACGGCGGUGAUACGUCCCUGGGCCUUGUACACACCGCCCGUCAAGCCACCCGAGUUGGGAGCACCCGAAGUC